Molecule: ribosomal RNA, 447 nt
Filed under: uncultured bacterium
Lineage: Bacteria
Description: partial 16S ribosomal RNA
Rfam family: Bacterial small subunit ribosomal RNA
Source: RNAcentral
AACGAACGCUGGCGGCAGGCUUAACACAUGCAAGUCGAGCGCCCCGCAAGGGGAGCGGCAGACGGGUGAGUAACACGUGGGAAUCUACCCAACCCUACGGAAUAGCUCCGGGAAACUGGAAUUAAUACCGUAUACGCCCUUAGGGGGAAAGAUUUAUCGGGGAUGGAUGAGCCCGCGUUGGAUUAGCUAGUUGGUGGGGUAAAGGCCUACCAAGGCGACGAUCCAUAGCUGGUCUGAGAGGAUGAUCAGCCACAUUGGGACUGAGACACGGCCCAAACUCCUACGGGAGGCAGCAGUGGGGAAUAUUGGACAAUGGGCGCAAGCCUGAUCCAGCCAUGCCGCGUGAGUGAUGAAGGCCUUAGGGUUGUAAAGCUCUUUCACCGGAGAAGAUAAUGACGGUAUCCGGAGAAGAAGCCCCGGCUAACUUCGUGCCAGCCGCCGCAGUAA